Molecule: long non-coding RNA, 5395 nt
Filed under: Homo sapiens (human)
Lineage: Eukaryota; Metazoa; Chordata; Mammalia; Primates; Hominidae
Description: HSALNT0068345
Source: RNAcentral
AAAAAAACUGUUAUAUACUCUGUGUGAAUAAUGAAUGAAUGAGGGAGGACAAGGGCUUGCGCUUGUCCUCCAGUUUGUAGCUCCACGGCGAAAGCUACGGAGUUCAAGUAGACCCUCACCUGCGGUUCCUUGGCGACCUCAUAAGGCUUAAGGCAGCAUCAGGCAUAGCUUGAUCUGAGCCGCAAGUUUAUACCGGCCUGCCAAUGGUAAGAGGAGCCCAGGUCCCCUCAGGGGGAGUGGCCAGGCAGGCAUCUGACUGAUCCCAUCACAGGAAACCCUCUCCUUGUCUGUCUAAGAAAAAAAAAAAAGGAAGAAACUGUCAUAACUGUUUACAUGCCCUAAAGUCAACUGUUUGUUUUAUAUUGAUUGUUCUGUUCAGUGUCUAUUGUCUUGUUAGUAGUUGUCAAAGUUUUGCAUGUCAAGACGUUGAUAUUGCCCAAGACGUCUAAGUAAAAACUUCUUCAAAGUCCUUAGUGCUGAUUUUUUGUCACAGGAGGUUAAAUUUCUCAUCAAUCAUUUAGGCUGACCACCACAGUCCUGUCUUUUCUGCCAGAAGCAAGUCAAGUGUUGUUACAAGAACAAGUGUGAAAAACAUUUGCCUGAUUAAGAUUUCUAGCACCAUGAAAGUUGUAAGUAUUUAGAUCGCCAUACUCCUCGUCCAAGUGAUUAGACCUCCUCUAAAUAAACCAGUAGUGAGUUCAAAACAGCCACCCUGCAGAUUUCCUUGCUCACCUCUCUUGUCAUUCUGUAACUUUUCCUGUGCCCUUAAGUAAAACACUGUGUAAAGAAACGUACGCCCGUACUGCUUUACUUCGUUAAGAUUCUUACUCUGUUCCUCUGUGGCUACUCUCCCAUCUUCAAAAUGAUCAGAGUAGUCCUUUUCCACCUUGUCCCUGCCCCCUAUCCCGCACAUCUCGUUUUACGGUGCGACAGCAAGUUUACCGUCUCCAGGACUUGGCUCUGCUCUCACUCUUUAAACCCUUAAAAGAAAAAGCUAAGUUUAGGCUAUUUGCGUUUAAGUCAUAAAGACACCAAAAGUAUUUAAAGUGCAGAUCUAGAAGAAGAAGAAGAACGCCUAGAUCAAACUGACCCAGAAGAUCUCAGGCUGGCUCUAGUCCUCCUCCCUCAAUCUUAAAGCUACAGCAAUGUAGCAAGUAGUAUUAGCUGUUGUAAGUUUUUCUGCUCUUUCUAGUCAUAUUUAUACUGUUCUUUCACUACUCCAGUCCCCCAAGAAAUAAGUUUCUCUGUCCAUGCUAAGUUUAAUAUCUAUGCUCCAAUCUUAUUAAAUUGCCUUCAAAAAAAAAAAAGAAAGAAACACUUCCUCCCAGCCUUGUAAAGUUAAAGCCCUCUCCAAUGUAUGCUGCAGAAUUUUCCUCUCAGUUCCUCAGAGGAUUAUAAAGUCCGCCUUAAAAAAGGCAAGCUCCAGACACUGUGCAAAAUAAAAUGGCCAAAGUUUAGAGUCGAGUGGCCCCCUGAAGGGCCAUUGAACCUCACAAUUGUUCAAGCUGUGUGGCAGGUUGUUACUGAAACUCCUAGCCACCCUGAUCAGUUUCCCUACAUUGAUCAAUAGCUAAGUUUAGUCAGGAGCCCCCUCCAUGGCUCCGUUCAUGCGCCAUUCAUAAUUCUACCUCCAAGGUCCUCCUAAGCCAGACCGCAUUUUCGCCUCAACCCUCAGCCGGUUCAGCUCCCCCUGUACUGCCUCCCUCUGAAGAAGAGGAGAGUCUCCCUCACCCAGUCCCACCGCCUUACAACCAGCCUUCUCCCUUAAAGUUAUCCCAUGUCUGCUCGACGACGUCCCCUGUAGGCUCGCCACCCAUUGCCUCUCAAUCAUGACCGUGGCAGGAAGAAGUAGCCCCUCUACUACCACUGAGAGAGGCACAAGUCCCUCCAGGUGACGAGCGCUCAGCACCCUUCUUAGUUUGUGUUCUUUUUCUACUUCUGACUUAUAUAAUUCGAAAACCCAUAAUCCUCCCUUCUCUGAAAAGCCCCAGGCUUUGACCUCUCUGACAGUCUGUACUCCGGACUCAACCCGCCCACCUAAGAUGAUUGCCAACAGCUCCUUUUAACCCUUUUCACCUCUGAAAAGAAGGAACGUAUCCAAAAAGAAGCCAAAAAGUACUUCCUCACAUCAGCCAACGGACCGGAAGAAGAAGUUAGAGACCUCCUUGAGGAGGUCUUUCCCUCUACCCGGCCUAACCAGAACCCAAAUUCCUCAAGUAGAAAGGGAGCUUUAGACGAUUUUCACCGGUAUCUCCUCGCAAGUAUUAAAAGAGCCGCUCAGAAACCCAUAAACUUGUCUAAGACGACCGAAGUUGUCCAAAGGCCCGAUAAGUCACCAAGAACGUUUUUAGAGCGCCUCCAGGAGGCUUAUCGGAUUUACACCCCUUUGGACCCGGCAGCUCCCGAAAAUAGCCGUGCUCUUCAUUUAGCAUUUGUGGCUCAGGCAGCCCCGGAUAUUAAAAAGAAACUCCAAAAACUAAAAAGAUUUGCUAGAAUAAAUAUCAGUCAGCUUUUAGAAAUAGCCCAAAAAGUUUUUGACAAUCAAAAGUUUAAAAAACAAAAACAAGCAACACAGGCAGCUGAAAAGGCCGCUGAUAAAGCAUUCAAAAGACAAACAAAAAUCUUAGUGGCAGCUAUCCAAGAAGUACAGAAUGAAAUAGCCUGUUAAUUUAGCAUUAACUGAAGCCCCUGCUUUAGCCCUCCCUAAUAUCUCCAUAAAAGCCAAGGAGUUGCUAAAGACGUGCUUACUCAGACUCUAAGACCCUAAAGACGCCCAGUGGCCUAUUUAUCUAAGAGGCUAGAUCCUGUGGCCUCUAGAUGGCCAAGUUGUCUGCGAGCCAUAGCGGCUACAGCAAGCCUGGCCCAAGAAGAUGAUAAGUUAACUCUAAGCCAAAAUUUAACACUUACAGCUCCUCACGCCUUAAAGACCUUACUACAAAAUGCUUCUGGCAAAUAGAUGUCAAAUGCUCGCAUCUUGCAGUAUCGAAGUUUACUGUUAGAUCAGCCUCGUUUGACUUUCUCUCCCACAAAGUGUUUCAAUCCAGCUACACUACUUUCUGACUCAGACUGCACUAUUCCUGCUCAUGACUGUCAAGAACUGUUAGAAACUAUCGAAACUGGCCGAUCUGAUCUUCAAGCUGUGCCCCUAGAAAAGGCAGAUGCCGCCUUGUUCACAGACAGUAGCAGCUUCCUCAAGCAGGAAGUAUGAAAAGUCAGUGCAGCUGUUACCACGGAGACAGAUGUGUUGUAAGCUCAAGCUUUACCAGCGAACACCUCAGCACAAAAGGCUCAAUUCAUCGCCCUCACUCAGGCUCUCUGAUAAAGUACAAGAUAUUAUCCUGCCACUUGUUUGAGGAGCCCUUCCCAAUCCAAUUCCUGACCAGAAAAAGUCCUGCCAUUCAUUCCAGCCAGGAGACCUAGCAUUUGUUAAAAAGUUCCAAAAAGAAAGACUCACUCCUGCUUAGAAAAGACCUCACACCGUCAUCCUCACGACUCCAACUGCUCUGAAAGUAGGCGGCAUUCCUGCUAGAUUCAUCACUCCCGCAUCAAAAAGUCCAACAGAGCCCAGCUCAAAACAUAAGUCCCCAGGCCUAAGUCAGGCCCCUUAAAACUGCACCUAAGUCAGGUGAAGCCAUUAGAUUCAUUCUUUUUGUCUACCUCACUUAUUUGUUUUUGCCAGUUACAUCCUCUGUGCCUUCCUACUCCUUUCUCCUCACCUCUUUCACAACAGGACGUGUAUUUGCAAACACCACUUAGAAGGUCCGUACCUCCAAGGAAGUCUCCUUUGCAGUUGAUUUAUUUGUACUAUUCCCAAAGCCAGCCCACACCCACAAAAACAACACCAUCUGCCAGUCCCAGGAGCAGGAAGUGUCGACCUUGCAGCAAGAUUCAGACACUCCAAGAGCCAAACUAAUUGCAGAAGCUCCAAAAGUGCAGAAAAAAAGACUCCAAAAUGUUGACUUUUACCUCUGUCCUAGAAAUCACCCUGACGCUAGCUGUCAAGAUGCUUAUCAGUUUUUCUGCCCUGAUUAGACAUGUGUAACUUUAGCCACCUACUCUAAAAGAUCAACCAGAUCUUCAACUCUUUCCAUAACUCGUGCUUCUCAUCCUAAAUUAUGUACUAGAAAAAACUGUAAUCCUCUAACUGUCCAUGACCUUAAUUCAACUCAAUAGUAUCAUGGCAUGUCAUGAACAUUAAGAUUUUAUAUCCCAGGAUUUAAUGUUAAGUAUAUGUUCACCAUCCAAAAAAACCCUAGUCUCAUAAAGCCCACCCAAGUCAAUCAGGCCUUUAACUGAUCUAAGUAACCCUAUGUUCCAGGAACACCCUGACAAAGUUGAUUUAACUGUUCCUCCACCUUUCUUAGUCAUAAAAGAUACACUCCAAAAAGUGCAAGAAAAUCUAGAAAAGCGCCAACAAGAACAAGAAAGUAACAUCCCCUAGUAUCAACGCAUGUUCAACUAGAACCCAUAGCUAACCACUCUAAUUACUAAGUUAGCUGGACCCCCUCCCCAUCCUACUAAUAAGUCUAAUUUUGGGGCAUUGUAUAUUAAGUUAGUUUCUUAAUUUUGUAAAACAACGAAUAGCUUCUGUCAAACUUAUGUAUCUGAAGACUCAAAAUAACCCCCUUUUUAUAACUGAAGAAUCAACGAUUUGAUUCCCCAAAAACACAAGUGAGGAAUGUAAUGCCCAACCAUGUUUUUACUCACCCUGUUUUUAGACUCUCCCUUUCUUUUAAUGACCUAGCCUUGUUUCCACCUGAAUUGACUCUCCCUUAGCUAAGAGAGCCAGACAGAUUCCAUCUUGGCUCUUUCACUGGCAGCCCCUUCCUCAGGGACUUAACUUGUGCAAGCUGACUCCCAGCACAUCGAAGAAUGCAAUUAACUGAUAAGAUACUGUGGCGAGCAAUAUCCGCAGUUCCCAGGAAUUCAUCCGAUUGAUAACGCCCAAAGCCCCGCGUCUAUCACCUUAUAAUAGUGUUAAAGGCCCUAGACCUAAAACUGUUUACUUUCCUGUAACAAUUUAUCCUUUUAACUUUUUUGUCUACUUUACUUAUGUAAAAUUGUUUUAACUAGAACCCCCUCCCCUUUCUAAACCAAAGUAUAAAAGAAAAUCUUAGCCCCUUCUUCGAAGCCGAGAGAACUUUAAACGUUAGCCGUUUCUUUGCCGCCGGCUAAGUAAACAGACUCUUAAUUCAUCUCAAAGUGUAGCGUUUUCUCAAACUCGCUCAAGAACAACACAUCCAGCAGGCAAGUCAUCCACUCUAAAAUGCCAUCCUGGGGUAGUGAAGAUGAUGUUGCUGGAAAUAUCCUUAAAUGGCAUGUGGAUGAGUUCCCCCAGAGGCAUACAUGUUGAGCUAAGAACUUUGCUGAUGAAGGGUACAAGUUGAAGGGGUUU